GUUGAAGAACGCAGCAAAAUGCGAUAAGUAAUGUGAAUUGCAGAAUUCAGUGAAUCAUCGAAUCUUUGAACGCACAUUGCGCCCGCCAGUACUCUGGCGGGCAUGCCUGUCCGAGCGUCAUUUCAACCCUCAGGGCCCUCCAGCAGGGCGCUGGUGUUGGGGAUCGGCAGUCCCAGCGGCUGCCGUCCCUGAAAUGUAGUGGCGGUCCCACCGUGACCUCCCCUGUGCAGUACAUCGCUCGCAGAGGGACAGCGGUGCGGCCACGCCGUAAAACGCCCAACUCUUCAAGGUUGACCUCGGAUCAGGUAGGACUACCCGCUGAACUUAAGCAUAUCAAUAAGCGGAGGA
RNAcentral lists this unclassified non-coding RNA (348 nucleotides) under soil metagenome. RNAcentral's name for it is "partial contains 5.8S ribosomal RNA, internal transcribed spacer 2, and large subunit ribosomal RNA". The stretch from base 1 to 120 matches the Rfam family "5.8S ribosomal RNA", at positions 35 to 154 of the family's 154-position model. The record is from RNAcentral.